RNAcentral lists this ribosomal RNA (83 nucleotides) under Staphylococcus aureus. Its description in RNAcentral is "partial 23S ribosomal RNA". It matches the Rfam family "Bacterial large subunit ribosomal RNA", at positions 1 to 83 of the family's 2925-position model. Lineage: Bacteria; Bacillati; Bacillota; Bacilli; Caryophanales; Staphylococcaceae. The record is from RNAcentral.
GGUCAAGUGACUAAGAGCAUGUGGUGGAUGCCUUGGCGAUGAUAGGCGACGAAAGACGUGAUAGCCUGCGAUAAGCUUCGGGG